This 210-nucleotide unclassified non-coding RNA is filed under the name soil metagenome. RNAcentral's name for it is "partial contains 5.8S ribosomal RNA, internal transcribed spacer 2, and large subunit ribosomal RNA". The record is from RNAcentral.
AACCUUAUGGACCUGCGGGCGUAUACCUGCGGAGGGAUCAUUACCGAGUUUACAACUCCCAAACCCCUGUGAACAUACCACUUGUUGCCUCGGCGGAUCAGCCCGCUCCCGGUAAAACGGGACGGCCCGCCAGAGGACCCCUAAACUCUGUUUCUAUAUGUAACUUCUGAGUAAAACCAUAAAUAAAUCAAAACUUUUAACAAUGGAUCU